UGUUAAAAAAUUUAUCCAUUUUUACUGUUAAAAAUUAGUAAUCAAACAAUAACACGUAGUACGUCAUAUGUACAUCAUUUUGAUACAGAGAUCAGUUUUUAAUAGUAGAGAUGGAUAAAAUUUUUAACA
MicroRNA precursor from Gossypium arboreum, 129 nucleotides. It matches the Rfam family "MIR7502 microRNA precursor family". Lineage: Eukaryota; Viridiplantae; Streptophyta; Magnoliopsida; Malvales; Malvaceae. The record is from Rfam.